This 253-nucleotide ribosomal RNA is filed under the name uncultured Lachnospiraceae bacterium. RNAcentral describes it as "partial 16S ribosomal RNA". It matches the Rfam family "Bacterial small subunit ribosomal RNA", at positions 524 to 776 of the family's 1533-position model. The record is from RNAcentral. Lineage: Bacteria; Bacillati; Bacillota; Clostridia; Lachnospirales; Lachnospiraceae.
UACGUAGGGGGCAAGCGUUAUCCGGAUUUACUGGGUGUAAAGGGAGCGUAGACGGUGAUGCAAGUCAGAAGUGAAAGCCCGGGGCUCAACUCCGGGACUGCUUUUGAAACUGUACAGCUUGAUUGCAGGAGAGGCAAGUGGAAUUCCUAGUGUAGCGGUGAAAUGCGUAGAUAUCAGGAGGAACACCGGCGGCGAAGGCGGCCUGCUGGACCGUGACUGACGUUGAGGCUCGAAAGCGUGGGGAGCAAAAAGG